This is a non-coding RNA of Rhinolophus ferrumequinum (greater horseshoe bat), 646 nucleotides long. The record is from the annotation of a RefSeq genome assembly. Lineage: Eukaryota; Metazoa; Chordata; Mammalia; Chiroptera; Rhinolophidae.
UGCACAUUCUGAGCAGACUCAACACCAGGAGCAGUCAUUGCCAAGGAAGCAUCUUUUACUAACAGCCUCUAGAACUUGCCUGAACAGGGAUCUCUUGAAUCUCAGAUUUUCCCAUUUAAAAGGACUCAGCAUACUUGGUCACAUUCUUUCCUGCUCCUCAGGGCAGAUCGUCCAGAAUACAGCUCAGCUCGCUCACUGCCUAGGCAUGUUCUCAGCGACCCUUCUGCUGCUUGGGCUGCUCUUCACAGUGAGAGGAACCAGAGCCCAGUCAGUGAGCCAGCCUGAUGGUCACAUCACUGUCUCUGAAGGAACCUCUCUGGAGCUGAGGUGCAACUAUACCUCUACCUAUGGUGGAUCUGUUUCUCUCUUCUGGUACGUCCAAUACCCCAGUCAAAACCUCCAGCUUAUUCUCAAGAACUUAGCAGGGAAAACUCUGGUUAAUGGCAUCAAAGAUUUCCAGGCUGAAUUUAAGAAAAGUGAAAGCACCUUCCACCUGAGGAAAUCAUCAGCCCAUUGGAGCGACUCGGGUGUCUACUUCUGUGCUGUGAGUGACACAGUGCCUGAGACUGCAUGGGGAGCUGAACACAAACCUCCUGAGACACUGGAGUUUUCAGACACUCAAGGACACAGCCUGACCAGUUUUUAG